GAGAAGUUUCCACACCCUUAUAAGAAAUGUUUCGUUCCUCUUUCCAACUGAUGUGGGAUCUCACAAUCGACCUCCUUCGAGGUCCGACAUCCUCGUUGGCACUCGUUUCCCUCUCCAAUCGAUGUGGGAUCUCAUAAUCCACCCUCCUUCGAGACUCAACGUCCUUGUUGACAUACCAUUUGGUGUCUAGCUCUUUGGGUUUUCCCUUUCGGGCUUCCCCUCUAGGUUUUUAGAACGCGUCUCAAGGGAGAGCUUUCUACACCAUUAUAAAAGAAUAGUUCGUUCUCUUCCUCAACCGAUGUGAGUCUCACAACUGGAUUGUCUUUUGCUAUCAUGGAAAUAAUUGCAAUUUGCAUAUUGUGCACGUUAUUUUAUUUAAUAACUCUACAUGAUGACCUCUGCCAUA
Cucurbita pepo subsp. pepo (vegetable marrow) is the source of this 406-nucleotide non-coding RNA. NCBI's taxonomy places the organism in Eukaryota, Viridiplantae, Streptophyta, Magnoliopsida, Cucurbitales, Cucurbitaceae. The record is from RefSeq and is a predicted model, not a curated record.